UACCUUUUGCACUGUCACUACAAUGUAUGAUAUAAAAAGAAUAAUUUCUUCCUUAGACUUGGAGACUUGUUUCUAACAUCACCAGAUGUGUAUGUCCCAGAGAUAAAGAACUGUCCAGUGAGCUCCAGAGCGCGGUACUUACCUCCCAUGCCUCUUCUGCAUCCAGGGAUGUUAUCCAUGGUAAAAAUAACAUUCCUUACAGAGGCCUUCUCUCCAAGCAUUGCAAAAUGAGAUGAAACAAACACCUGUGCAAACUAGAACAGUAAUUGCAACAGCACACAGUUAUAUGAUAUGUACCUGGCACUGCACAUGAUAUGUACCUGGCACUGCACUGCAUGUAUGUCAGGCUUAAAAAUACUGACAUGAAGGGCCUAAUUAACAGUACUUAAUUGGCACCCGGUGUCUUUUGAAAUCAAGAAUUCACUGGACCUAACAUUUUUUUCUCAGAUCUCGUCUCCUCUGUAUUCCAAAUGUAUAUGAAAG
This 483-nucleotide long non-coding RNA is filed under the name Anser brachyrhynchus (Pink-footed goose). RNAcentral describes it as "lncRNA (ENSABRG00000017789.1)". The record is from RNAcentral. Lineage: Eukaryota; Metazoa; Chordata; Aves; Anseriformes; Anatidae.